AGCAGCCGCGGUAAUUCCAGCUCCAAUAGCGUAUAUUAAAGUUGUUGCAGUUAGAAAGCUCGUAGUUGAAUUUCAGAAUCAUCAGGUUGGUCGUGCCUCUGGUAUGUACUGAUCUCGAUGGUUCCUCCUUCUUGAAGAACCGUAAUGGCAUUAAUUUGUUGUUGCGGGGAAACAGGACUGUUACUUUGAAAAAUUAGAGUGUUUAAAGCAGGCAAUCGCUUGAAUACAUUAGCAUGGAAUAAUGAAAUAGGACGUUCGAUCCUAUUUUGUUGGUUUCUAGGAUUGACGUAAUGAUUAAUAGGGAUAGUUGGGGGCAUUAGUAUUCAAUUGUCAGAGGUGAAAUUCUUGGAUUUAUUGAAGACUAACUACUGCG
This 373-nucleotide ribosomal RNA is filed under the name uncultured Glomus. RNAcentral describes it as "SSU rRNA". It matches the Rfam family "Eukaryotic small subunit ribosomal RNA", at positions 569 to 947 of the family's 1831-position model. Lineage: Eukaryota; Fungi; Glomeromycota; Glomeromycetes; Glomerales; Glomeraceae. The record is from RNAcentral.